Molecule: ribosomal RNA, 253 nt
Filed under: uncultured bacterium
Lineage: Bacteria
Description: partial 16S ribosomal RNA
Rfam family: Bacterial small subunit ribosomal RNA
Source: RNAcentral
UACGUAGGUGGCAAGCGUUGUCCGGAUUUACUGGGCGUAAAGAGCGCGCAGGCGGUCAUUCAAGUCGCGUGUGAAAGCCCCCGGCUCAACUGGGGAGGGUCACGCGAUACUGAUCGACUCGAAGGCAGGAGAGGGAAGUGGAAUUCCCGGUGUAGUGGUGAAAUGCGUAGAUAUCUGGAGGAACACCGGUGGCGAAGGCGGCAUCCUGGACCGGCAUUGACGCUGAGGCGCGAAAGCCAGGGGAGCAAACGGG